GGUGAUUUAGCUCAGUGGUAGAGCACUUGCCUGGCAAGUGCAAGGCCCUGGGUUCGGUCCCCAGCUCCG
RNAcentral lists this transfer RNA (69 nucleotides) under Rattus norvegicus (Norway rat). It matches the Rfam family "tRNA". From Rfam's summary of the family: Transfer RNA (tRNA) molecules are approximately 80 nucleotides in length. Their secondary structure includes four short double-helical elements and three loops (D, anti-codon, and T loops). The record is from Rfam by way of RNAcentral. Lineage: Eukaryota; Metazoa; Chordata; Mammalia; Rodentia; Muridae.